UGCAGGUUUGAAAAACCUGAUGCUCACUGCCUUAACACAAUCGAUUGUCAUUAGUUCACAAUCGAUUGUCAUGCAGUCUUGGCUUAACUUAAUCGAUUAGCAUAAGUACAUAAUCGAUUAUCUUAGUCCAAAUUUUAGGGGCAUGUUUAAAAAUCAUUUUGACUAAAGUAAAUAUGCAUGAAUUAAAUAUGCAUGAUUUUG
RNAcentral lists this long non-coding RNA (201 nucleotides) under Nicotiana benthamiana. RNAcentral's name for it is "long non-coding RNA (NBEN_LNC038517)". Lineage: Eukaryota; Viridiplantae; Streptophyta; Magnoliopsida; Solanales; Solanaceae. The record is from RNAcentral.